Long non-coding RNA from Neopelma chrysocephalum (saffron-crested tyrant-manakin), 369 nucleotides. RefSeq lists it as uncharacterized. The record is from RefSeq and is a predicted model, not a curated record. The transcript is spliced from 3 exons. Lineage: Eukaryota; Metazoa; Chordata; Aves; Passeriformes; Pipridae.
UCAAGGUCAGACUGUUUUAUUUCCAUGGAUGUCUAGAGAUGAGUUAAGGGUAGCUCAGACCUUUUGGUCAGUAAAAUGUUAGAAGAGAGAGAAUCUCACCUGGAUCUUGGAGAGAACACUUAUAUACUUCUUUAUUCUAUUGAAUUCUUCCCUUAUAGUUAUGGAUGACAGGACACCCAUGUGGAAAGUCCCUUUUCUGGUUUUCAGGACUUAAAAGAGAUGCUUUUCUGAUGUUGAUGUCAGACGACAUAAAGGCAGCAUGUAGAGAUAACCCUGAUGUAAGUGAUGGUUCCAGUCAUCCCGUGUAUGGAUAAAAGAUUUCCAAGGCUUUGUUCCAAGGCCGCUGCCCCACCCCCACCCUCUGCCUGC